AAUGAACGCUGGCGGCGCGCCUAAUACAUGCAAGUCGAGCGAGAAGACGUAGCAAUACGUUUGUAAAGCGGCGAACGGGUGAGGAAUACAUGGGUAACCUACCCUCGAGUGGGGAAUAACUAGCCGAAAGGUUAGCUAAUACCGCGUACGCUUCUUGGACUUCGGUUCAGGGAGGAAAGCGAUGCCGAGGGUAUCGCGCUCUUGGAUGGGCUCAUGUCCUAUCAGCUUGUUGGGAGGUAACGGCUCACCAAGGCUUCGACGGGUAGCUGGUCUGAGAGGGACGAUCAGCCACACUGGCACUGGCGACACGGGACCAGACUCCUACGGGAGGCAGCAGUAAGGAAUAUUGCGCAAUGGGCGAAAGCCUGACGCAGCGACGCCGC
Molecule: ribosomal RNA, 383 nt
Filed under: uncultured bacterium
Lineage: Bacteria
Description: bacterial SSU rRNA
Rfam family: Bacterial small subunit ribosomal RNA
Source: RNAcentral